This 404-nucleotide ribosomal RNA is filed under the name uncultured bacterium. RNAcentral's name for it is "bacterial SSU rRNA". It matches the Rfam family "Bacterial small subunit ribosomal RNA", at positions 29 to 429 of the family's 1533-position model. The record is from RNAcentral.
AGUGAACGCUGGCGGUAGGCCUAACACAUGCAAGUCGAACGGCAGCACAGGAGAGCUUGCUCUCUGGGUGGCGAGUGGCGGACGGGUGAGGAAUACAUCGGAAUCUACCUUUUUCGUGGGGGAUAACGUAGGGAAACUUACGCUAAUACCGCAUACGACCUACGGGUGAAAGUGGGGGACCGCAAGGCCUCACGCGAUUAGAUGAGCCGAUGUCCGAUUAGCUAGUUGGCGGGGUAAUGGCCCACCAAGGCGACGAUCGGUAGCUGGUCUGAGAGGAUGAUCAGCCACACUGGAACUGAGACACGGUCCAGACUCCUACGGGAGGCAGCAGUGGGGAAUAUUGGACAAUGGGCGCAAGCCUGAUCCAGCCAUACCGCGUGGGUGAAGAAGGCCUCGGUUGUAAG